AAUGGAGUGCCUGAUUCAAAAGGAUUAUUUUGAUAGAAUAAAUCAUACAAUUAAAUUGUCUUCAUUA
Molecule: transfer RNA, 67 nt
Filed under: Hydrobius fuscipes
Lineage: Eukaryota; Metazoa; Arthropoda; Insecta; Coleoptera; Hydrophilidae
Description: tRNA-Ile
Source: RNAcentral